RNAcentral lists this ribosomal RNA (448 nucleotides) under uncultured bacterium. RNAcentral describes it as "bacterial SSU rRNA". It matches the Rfam family "Bacterial small subunit ribosomal RNA", at positions 328 to 792 of the family's 1533-position model. The record is from RNAcentral.
GGGCCAGACUCCUACGGGAGGCAGCAGUGGGGAAUAUUGCACAAUGGGGGAAACCCUGAUGCAGCAACGCCGCGUGAGUGAGGAAGUAUUUCGGUAUGUAAAGCUCUAUCAGCAGGGAAUAGAAAAGAAGGUACCUGAAAAAGUAGCCCCGGCUAACUACGUGCCAGCAGCCGCGGUAAUACGUAGGUGGCAAGCGUUAUCCGGAUUUACUGGGUGUAAAGGGCGUGUAGGCGGGAAAGCAAGUCAGAUGUGAAAACCAUGGGCUCAACCUGUGGCCUGCAUUUGAAACUGUUUUUCUUGAGUACUGGAGAGGCAGACGGAAUUCCUAGUGUAGCGGUGAAAUGCGUAGAUAUUAGGAGGAACACCAGUGGCGAAGGCGGUCUGCUGGACAGCAACUGACGCUGAGGCACGAAGGCCAGGGGAGCGAAAGGGAUUAGAUACCCCUGUA